GAGGAUUAUGGUGUCUGUUAGACUUUCUGGGAGCAGGUACAGAAGGAGGAGGAUCCAAAACAUGAGGGAAAACAGCAGGACCGAGUGGAGUUGGAGAAGGCACCUGGACAGGAGUGUCAGAAGAGGGAGGAGAAAGUGGAAUGGGAGAGUCAGAGAUAUCAUCAUGUUCUCCAGAGAGAAGAGAAGGAAAAGACGAAGCUGAGGGAGAGGCAUGUUUAAAAGGAAAAACUGAUUCAUGAAAU
Molecule: long non-coding RNA, 242 nt
Filed under: Nicotiana benthamiana
Lineage: Eukaryota; Viridiplantae; Streptophyta; Magnoliopsida; Solanales; Solanaceae
Description: long non-coding RNA (NBEN_LNC001429)
Source: RNAcentral